CCAAUAGCGUAUAUUAAAGUUGUUGCAGUUAAAAAGCUCGUAGUUGAACUUCGGGGUUUACCCAUUGGUCAGGCUUAAUUGUCUGUACUGGUGAGAUAAAUCUCUACCUUCUGAGGAACUUUCAUGCCAUUUAUUUGGUGUGAUGGGAAAUCAGGACUGUUACUUUGAAAAAAUUAGAGUGUGUAAAGCAGGCUAACGUCUGAAUACAUUAGCAUGGAUUAAUGAAAUAGGACGAACUGAUUCUAUUUCGUUGGUUUCUAGGAUCACCGUAAUGAUUAAUAGGGAUAGUUGGGGGCAUUAGUAUUCAAUUGUCAGAGUUGAAAUUCUUGGAUUUAUUGAAGACUAACUACUGCGAAAGCAUUUGCCAAGGAUGUUUUCAUUAAUCAAGAACGAAAGUUAGGGGAUCGAAGACGAUCAGAUACCGUCGUAGUCUUAACCAUAAACUAUGCCGACUAGGGAUCGGACGAAGUUAAUUUUAUAAUGACGCGUUCGGCACCUUACG
RNAcentral lists this ribosomal RNA (502 nucleotides) under uncultured Glomeromycotina. RNAcentral's name for it is "partial small subunit ribosomal RNA". It matches the Rfam family "Eukaryotic small subunit ribosomal RNA", at positions 591 to 1092 of the family's 1831-position model. Lineage: Eukaryota; Fungi; Glomeromycota. The record is from RNAcentral.